AACCCGUGGUGAGGGUACCUUCUCGAAAGAUCCUUGUAUCUCUCCCAUGCAUCAUAGAGUGUUUCUAGAUGCAUCUGCAUAAAAGAAGAGAUGUCAUUCCUCAUCUU
Gossypium hirsutum (cotton) is the source of this 107-nucleotide non-coding RNA. The record is from Rfam. NCBI's taxonomy places the organism in Eukaryota, Viridiplantae, Streptophyta, Magnoliopsida, Malvales, Malvaceae.